AAGAAAAGUGAAGAAGAAGACAGAGGGUGUGAAGAUGAAGAUGAUGGUGGUGGUGAUGAUGAUGACGCCCUCCAGAAAGGCGUUUUUCUCGACACCUGUGGUGUUAACUCAGACGUCCCAUGAUGCACUGGGGCUAAAGAUACCAAUAGGAAAGUCAUGUUGUUAUUCUGCUGAUUAAAAAGAACAAAUGUCUGGUUUCUCUUUUCAAUAACGAGGCGGUUAAACAAACCUUCAUGUAUCGUCUUUGUCUUUAAAAUAUGUUUUUAAUAACACAUUAAUCUGAGCUUCACCGUGUUACCUUAAAGAGCCGGGCUAGCUGUUCCCCUCUGUUUCCAGUCUUUAUGCUAAGCUACGCUAACAUGCAAGAAAGAGAAGAAGAUUCACUAAAUGUUGAGCUGUUCCUUUAUUAUUAUUAUUAUUAUUAUUAUGAUGAUGAUAAAAAUGUUCCAGAUGUUCUGACAAACUGAUUUGUUUCUCCGUCGUAGCCGACCAGUGAGGAAGACCUCUGCCCCAUCUGCUACGCUCACUCCAUCUCCGCCGUCUUCAAGCCCUGCUCCCACAAGUCCUGCAAAGCCUGUAUCAACCAGCACCUGAUGAACAACAAGGACUGUUUCUUCUGCAAAGCCACCAUCACCGGGGUGGAAGAUUACAGCAAGCCUGCCGCCUCCUAACACACACACACACACACACACACACGCACGUUAGCUGUUACCUGUGUAAAGGACCGAUGUGUCAAACCGUCUCCCGUUCAAAGCCCCUCAAACAUCCCACGUGUCAGAUCUUGGAGGCUGUUUUGUCGAUCUUCAGUUGUGGUUUGAGAGGAAGUUAUCUUGAGUUUGACUUCACGGUGGACAGAGGACACAGUUAGUGUGAGUCGAUACGUCAUGAGAACAAUAGUUUAUUUAUUUAUUGGUCAUGAAUACAUAAUAUCUAAUCCAUUCAAAGCAGUGGUUUUCUACUUCCCCUCCACGACAUCUCAGAGGUAGUUAUUGUACUUUUUACUUCAUCAGUGAAAACCACGUAUCUCCAGAUGUGUUUGUGUUCUUUUAUGUGUUUGUGUUAAAAUCUAUGAAGCUAAAUAAACCUUUUAAAAAGCCUCUUGGAUCAGCUGGAAAAAGCAUCGCCGCUACGCUGCUCUUGUUUUUAGAGAUACGUGGUUCUCACAUGAAGAUCUGAUAGAAUGUGAUGCUUUGAUGUAGAUUAAACUAGACAACAGGAUACAGAGGAGUCACAAUGCAACACACACAUUAAUGCAGCAUGGACAUAUUUCCUUUCCUUACAUAUAUUAAAUGAAACAAUCUGAA
This is a long non-coding RNA of Anarrhichthys ocellatus (wolf-eel), 1304 nucleotides long. RefSeq lists it as uncharacterized. The record is from RefSeq and is a predicted model, not a curated record. NCBI's taxonomy places the organism in Eukaryota, Metazoa, Chordata, Actinopteri, Perciformes, Anarhichadidae. The transcript has 2 exons.